Molecule: ribosomal RNA, 516 nt
Filed under: Triticum aestivum (bread wheat)
Lineage: Eukaryota; Viridiplantae; Streptophyta; Magnoliopsida; Poales; Poaceae
Description: partial small subunit ribosomal RNA
Source: RNAcentral
AUGGUAGUGUCCAAAUUUGAUCUUGCUUCAGAGAUUCAGAUUAGGAAGAAGUUUAUUCCGAUUCCCAAAUAUGUCAAACAUGACAUCUUAGAUCUUCCUGUUGAUGGUGAGCCCAUUAUGUCCAAUGCUGAGGCUGGGCGUGAGUUUAUCUUGUCCCAUUUCAAUGUGACCAGCAUCCCACCGGUUUCUUUCUUCUGCAAUACACUCAAAUCUGAAGAAUUGCCUGAUGAAGACACUUUCAUCUGCUUCAUGUGUAUUGCCUUGUCCACUUUCUUGUGUCCAAAUUCAAGCCUUUCUCCUAGUCCCAAAUAUCCCCACAUUUUCAGAGAUUGUAGUUCUGUGAUGAACUAUGAUUUAUCUAGAUUGGUAUAUGAGAGUCUCCUUGGCAAUAUUAAGAAGUUUAAGGAUUCUAUGAAGGUUGCUUCUAUGAGAUCAAUGACAUUUGGCGGUUGUCACUACGCAUUCGCUGUCAGUCUUGAUUUUUACAGUGUAAAUUUAGGUAGAAUUACAGUGUAA